AUCCAACAAACACGUCAUUUUUUAUUCAAACAGUUGGCGCUAGAGGGAGGGGCCAAGGAGAACUAUCUUAGGAGUAUAUCAAACUUUAGGAGAAUCCUAGAUCUAACUUCAUCUCAAGUUGGUUUCUAAAAAAAAAGAAAGGGCUUUCUCACCCACGAAAGAGCCCAAGAUUCUCAUCAGCUUGCCGUCUCAUCCCUUGGCUCAUGAAGAUUUGGUGGCGCGGCUUCAGUCUUGGUCCGCCGGUGAGGUUUGUCGAAAUCAAGCCAGAGCCUUGGAAGGUCAACGAUCUCGUGGCCACGGGAAGAAGACGACGACAGAGAUCAACGACGUCGAAGCCGCUACUUUCCGAUACGGAACGUUGAGAAGGACGAUCAGAAACGCUCGGACGCCAUUGACGGAUAGGUCAAAAGCUCUGACGUUCCUCACGAGCUUCUCAACAUGUUGAAGGACAUGAAGAGAGGCCUCGAUUCAUUUCCAGAGCAAAGAACAUAAGAGUGACGCCGCAUAAGUUCUCGAUUUCGGAUCUGCACACGUCUUGUUCGACGAAUUGAUUCAGAGAGUUCCUAAUUGCAUUGUUUCUCCUCCUUCCUCCAGUGUCACCACCGCGACGGCGCCUGGGCAUGUUGUUUCUCCGGCGAGUUUGUUUCAUUCCGAUAAGGCUUCUGUCAAGUCUAAGGAAAUGUUGCACGUAUGAUACGUUUGCGAUCAAGGUCAAGUCUUCGCUCGGUUUCUCAGUUCCUCGCAAACCUCAGGUUAAGGAUUCAACACUUGAGAAUAAGAAAGAUGAAGCCUAGCUUGAUUGAAGUAUCUGCCGCGAUGGGGAGUGGAUGAGUCUCAACGACCAGAGCAACGCUGUUCUAUUAACGAGGUUUAAAGAAACCUCUGUCAAGUCGGAUCCAGAUGAUGUCGAGAUGCUUCGUUCCUCUACUUCAAGCCUUUGUACAGCUGGUGUUACUAAAUCAUGUCAAUGGAGCCAUUCUGGUCACAAGCACCACACCGAGAACUUCAAGCUUACCGUUCAUUGCGAGAUGAACUGGUUCUCUAUUUUCUCUGCUCUGUUACGUGAUGCUGGUAACCUUGUCUUGCUGAAAAACAAGGAGGAGAUUGUUUGGGAAAGCCUGCUGAUACUUGCUUCUGAACCGAAAGCUGGAAGCUUUUAAGAUGCUUAGAGCUGCUAGUGAGAGCUCUAGGUCUAGUUAUUAUAGCCUUCACAUGGAGGGUUCAGGGAAGCUAGAGCUGAGGUGGGAGAGUAACAUCACGAUCUGUCUAGUAAUUAUAGCCUUGCGACGAGACCACUGUAGCAAGCUCUGUCUUUUCCUUGCGACAAUAUCGCCAACACCAGCUCUGUCUCUUCUUUACGACAAGAUCGUUGUGUCCCACGAAGCCCAAGUGCAACUCUGAUCUUUGCUUUUACAGUACGAGAUUCAAAUCAAGCUAUAGCUUGCGUACCAAGAUUCAGCAGCAGUCAUCUCUAGCCAUCAAAGGCACAAGCUUUCUGUUGGACGCUUGUUUCUCCUUCACGACAAAGAUAAGUUCUUUUAUAAGCUGCUCAUUCUCAUAUAAUUAUUGCUUUAUUGCUGGUAGCCUAUGAUAUUAAUUAUUAACAAUUAUCAUAUUAUCAUGCACUCACAAGCAUUAAGUAAUAAUGAGUUCUACAGCCCGCUUAUUGCUUAUGCCAAAUUUGGUUAUGUCUUUUGGUUUAUAUUGAUCUAAUCAUGAUCAUGCCUUUUGUGAGCCAGCGAUCGUUGAGCCAAAGACAAGCGGCUGCCACCAUCAUGUCCUCAUGCUUCGAAGGACGGCCCUUAGCUACGAGCUUGCCGGAAGCGGUACAAGCGGAGCAAACCAGAACGUUUCUCAACGUCAUCACAGCCUGACGAACAUACAAGCCAUCGGCACACACGAUUUCAACACGAGACUUUGGGUCGGCAAUAGUUCGGUAAACUUGUAUUUUAGGCACGAGUUUAAAUUGAACUUACUUGUUAUUAGGCAUGAGUUUGCAGUCGACUCGCUUAUUGUUAGACACGAGUUUACAAAAACUCGCCUUUGGCUAGGCAUAAGUUUAUAAAAACUCUCCUUCUACUAGGCACGAGUUCUCAGUAAACUCGCCUUUGUCUCAGCGUGAGUCCAGUAAACUCGUCUUUCGCUAAGCACGAGUUUAAAACAAACUCGCCUUUUACUAGGCACAAGUUCAAGUCGUCAUAGGCAUGAAUGUGUCUAGUUGAUUGUCUAAUAAAUCAUAUUCGUAAAAUUCAUAGAGAUCGACUUCAUCUCUCUCUACGAACUUGGAGGGUUUACUGUUGGGGGUGGAUUUACAUCCUCCCUCAAGGUCCAUUGGACAAUAAAUUAAGCUCAUUUUACUAUGAAGUCCUAGCUUCUUCUUUGUAUAAAUAUAAAUACACCUCUCUUUAUCAAGCGAAUCUUCUCUUUUCCACUUAGAUCUAGAACACUUCUUAUAAAAAGUUUAUGGAUUCUUAGAUUUACUUUACACUUGUAAUACAAUGUUGAUAAAUAAACUCUUUUUGAUAUUCAUUUUCCAUUUGAUUUCGAUGUUGAUUUCUUGUAAGUCUCAAAAAUCUAAGAAAUCUAAUUCUUAAAUUCUUCAUUGUAUGAAUCCAACAAACACGUCUUUUUGGUUCAAACAAACAAGAAUACAAUCCCAAUUCACUAUCUUGUCUUACAUAGAGACAUAUUGAAAUUCUUACAUAGACUCAACUACAUGCUCAUUUUCAAGGUUUAGGAAACCAUUUGAACCAGGAAUUGAAAUCGUAAAUCUUCAAUAUAAUCACUAUGUGGUAACAUCUGCCAGAAUCAGAAUAUCGAAGUAUCGAACUUAAAACGGAUCUGAUUAUGCUGAAAAAUUAUUCUUUCCUCAGUUACGUUUGAAUAAUCAUUUGGGACAAGACUUAUUUUCUUAAAACAUCAAAUUUUACAUCUUACACCUGCUAAUACUUUGAACCAUUCCUACCGAGACAAUUUACAUGCAAUAUGUUGAACACAUGCAUGCAUCCUACAUAUGCAUCAAAAGAUGUGCAAAACCUUGUAUAUGAGUUUAAGUGGAUGCUAGAAUAAUAUACAUUGAAUCACUGUCAAAGUCAAGUACAUAUGAACAUAUGAUUGUGAAGUAUACACCUUUUUGCUUUCAAAGAUUUUAAUUUAUCUAGUAAAAUGCAAAAUAAAUACAACAUGACACCAUUUAUGUAAUAUCUCAAAACCGAGCCUCAAAAAUUAUUGCAAAACUUAGGUUCACCUCCUAGAGUGAACCUUUAAAUUUACAUCUCAUUCUAGAACCAAUCAAAGUACCACGUAGAUAAUUAAUUAAAAAAUAUUAAAUUUAUUUAAAAAUAACUAAAAAAAGAAUAACGCCAAUUUUAACGACGAUGACGCCGCUACCUAAACCGUAAACCCUAAAUCUUAAAUUCUAAACCCUAAACUUUAAAUCCUAAACCCAAACCCUAAAACCUAAAACCUAUACCCUAAACCCAAAUCCUAGACCAUAAACCCAAAUUGUAUACCCUAAUCUCAAACUGUAUACCCUAAACCCAAACCAUAAACCCUAAACCCAAACCAUAUACCCUAAAUUUAAAUCCUAGACCCUAAACCCAAACCUUAUAGCGUAUAGGUUUAGGAUUUGGGUUUAGGGUUUAGGGUAUACGGUUUGGGUUUAGGAUUUGGUUUAGGUAUAGGGUUUGGAUUUAAGGUUUACAGUUUGGGUUUAGGGUCUAGGAUUUGGGUUUAGAGUAUGCAAUUUGAGUUUAGGGUCUAGGAUUUGGGUUUAGGGUAUAUGGUUUGAGUUUAAAAUUUAAGGUUUAGGGUUUAGAAUUUAAGAUAUGGGGUUUUCGGUUUAGCCGGCGGCGUCAGCGUUGUUAAAAUUAGCAUUAUUCUUUUCUUUUAAAAAAAAAAAAAAAUUUAAUAGUUUUUAAUUAAUUAUCUGCGUGACACUUUGAUUGAUCCUAGAAGAAGAUGUGAAUUUAAAGGUUCACCCUAAGGGUUGAAUUUAAAGGUUCACCCUAGGGGUAAACCUAAAUUUUGUUCCAAAUAUUAUUAGGUUUAAAAGGAAACCGGCUAGGAUUUACCUCAAUUUUUCUUAUAAAUAGAGGUUUCCUCUCUCUUUUUCUACAAAACAAAACCACGGCCAAACUGUGGAGAGAUUUCGAAAACCAAAACCUUAGCCGUCAAAAUACUUCUCCUCUAUCUCGCCUCUUCUCACUACAAAAAAAAAUAGCGUCUAUUGCAACAUAAAAAUUACAAUGUCUAUUUUCGUUAUGAUUAUUACAAUAUUUUUUUGCAAUAAUAAAUAUUAUUUACAGUUUCAUUACAAAUUUAUUGCAAAAUAACAACUAUAACGGACGUUACAUGUUUUCUUUACUAAAUUUCAAUUUUUUACAACAUAAAUAAAUAUCUUGUGAAUUUUGCAAAAAGCAUUCAACACUUUUGAAUCAUUGCUAAUUUGCACACACAAAAAAUAUGUGGCAAAAAUGUGAAAGUGAUUAUACUUUUAUUAUAUAAUUUUAUAGAAAAAAUUAAAUGUUUUUUGUAUAUUAAUUACAAGAAAUAUAUAAUAUAUAUUUAUAUUUUAUAUUUAAAUAUGUACACUAUAUUUUUAAAGUUUCAGGUUGUUAAGAUUUGUUAACAGUUUUAUGUUAUGAAUUUUAUUUUGUUUUGGUCUAAUAUGGUAUGGCUUACUUACUCCUAUUCGGAAAAGGAAAUUAGACAAAAUAAUUAUUUAAAUAUUUUUCAAAAAUAAUUAUAAAAUAACUAUGCUAUAAACGUAACUUUUAUCUCUUCUUUUUUUCCCUUUAAUUCAGAUAAAGAUAGGUCCAAGGUCUUUAUCAAAAAAAAAAAUUUAGUAAUUUCAAGAAAAAUAAAACUACACACAUACCUUCUUCCAAAUCAUUAACGGAAAAAGACUUCUCAUCUCUUUAAUUAUCGACAUACCCCCCGAAUCUCUUUCUCCACUUUUUGUCAUGAAACAGAGCAUAUUACAGCAGGUUUCAUAUCACAAUAAUUGUGUUGCUGUUUCUUCCUUGAUUGAACGGCUCGGAACACUUACGUACUUGUUGUCAUACGAUUCUGUUCACACUCGAUUGGUUGAUCGCAGAUUUUUCAAAAAUUCAAAUGUCUUAGAGUAAUGAUAAUCAUGCUAUGAGGCAGUGGAUGUACGCAAGAAUUGAUCCUAAUACCAAUCAAGUCUCUAAUGCAUUUAUAGAAGGAUUGAAAUAUUUUUUGGUUGCUGCUAAAAACCAUGUUUUAUUUACUCAAAAACAGAAAAUAUUUUACCCGUGUAGUAAGUGUGAGAAUAGAAAAUUUCUUGAUGAGCAAACAGUCGUCGGCCAUUUAUAUAACAGUUUGCCCAUUUUUAGUAAAAUUUUACACUCUUUCGGAUUUUCUACCCAAUUCACUCGAAUGAAUUGUUUAGAUUAGUCCAUCGAGUCUUUCUUUUUUUUCUAUAAACCCACAUUUUUAUUCUCCUUUUAGACCAAGCCUUUUUUGUGUUGAAAGUUCUCUCUUGCUGAGAAAGAUGACCCUAGAAAAGAGCGUAAUAAUGGCCCAUGACAUUACAGUGUCAUACAAAAAUUUGGAGUAGUUGUCUGUACAACAGUAAAUAUGGUACAAAUUGAUUUGCUUGCCGUAAAUUCAUCUCUUUUUGAGUUCGCGGGCUUGAGACCAAGUACAUAUAUGAACUGAGAGGAUUAAACCGAAGUUGUUAAAUAAGAUUGAUGGACAGAGUCGGGAGAUUCGUAGAGUUGAUAUCAAAGGUUUCAAUGCCAAUUACAAAUGCAAGAUAUUGGAACCACUUUACUUAUGCGUACUGGUCAGUAAAACUUAAUGAAAAUUAGCCUCAAAAAUAUUGCAAUACCGGCGACUUUAAAUUUGCUUUGUCUGAAACUGGCUCUACAAAUCUGGUUCUGUACAGUUUGGCUAUCUAAAGAAUGAAAACAAGAAUUUGUCCAUCAACAUAAACCAAUAUAUUAUAAAAUUGAGAUGCAUUCAAACUCUCAUAUAAACUUUGCAUCUAAACCUAAUACUUCAUGGGCUUUUAGUCCAUAAUCAACUAUAGCCUUAGAUUUCACACUUGGUAGAAAUGUUUAAUAGCUCACCACUUGUUUAUAAACUUCUGCUAACUAAUGAUACUUUCAUCUUAAAGCCAUUGAAUAAGUAAUGCAUAAUUAGUUUUCUAUAGAAGCGACUAAAACUGAAGUUUUUAACAAUGUAUUCUUUUAAAAUAAAAACUAGACAUUGAUCCGCACAUUCGUACGGGUAAUUUUUCAUUUUAUAAAUAUAUAUUUUUCAUAUUAUAUUUUGUAUAUAAUCAUUUUUGAUAAUAUAAUAUUGUGAUUUUCAAAAUAAAUAAAUAGAUAAUAUAUAGUUGUAGAUAUAAAGUUUAAUAUAUGUUAACAAUUUCAUUUUUAUAUAAAAAUGUUACAUAAUUUAUUAAUUUUUAUUUUUAUAAACUGUAAAUGAUAUUCUAAUUCCUAUAAAAGAUGAAUGAUAUUUUUAUUUACUUAAAUGAAAAUAUUAUUUUAUUUAUGUUAAUUUACCAAUUCAAUAUAAUUUUCGUAUUUAAUUCAUUUAUUACUUCUAUUUAAUACAAUAUGGACUAUAAUUAUAAAAUUCAUAAAAAAUAUCAUAUAAUUUAUUUUGUUUUGUUUUUAUAAAAAAUUAUUUAAAAUUAGUUUAUAGUAAUAUUAUAUUACUAAUUAUGAAAUUAAUCAUUCAUUAAUUAAAAAAAUGUUUAAAUAUUUAUAAGAUUUGGUUAGAUUAUUUCUCAUCAGAUUUUAUUAUAACUAAAAAUAAAAUUUAAAUUUACAGUUAAAAUUAAUUUAUUAUUAAUAUUCUUAUAGUUAUUUAGAUUCUUUAGAAAUGUUAAUGCAAAAAUCAAAUAGAUAUAUGAAUCUAGUAUGACUAUUUUAUAGUACAUAAAAAUGGUACUUCUCUUUUAAUAGAGAAAAUAAGAAACCAAAAAAGAUUCUAAAUGUGUGAUAAAAAAAGGGGCCUUACUACUUUUAGGGAGAUGAUCUUCACGCCUAAGUUCCACUUUGAGAUAUGAUUGUGGUUCUCUGUUGUAUUCCACCUCAAUUCUCACAUUCUCAAAACCGUCUCAUGUUUAUGGAUAUUGUUUUCUUUGCUAUAAAUAUAAAUAACAAGUACUUUCUUGACACCAAAAUAGUUUUCUUCCAAGAAAUUGAUAGAUAACGAUCAAGAUAAAUAUAUUCUCAGUUUAGCAAACAACCUUAAGAGCAUCUUCCAAAGUAACAUCAUUUUUAAUUGAAAGGAUCUCUCUCUAAUCCUCUCUCUCUAAUCCUCUCUCUCUCUAAAACCUCUCAAAACCUAAAUCGCCCUUUUCAUCUUCUCCGGCUGCGCGGCACGGAGCCGAUUUCCUCCCUUCUCUCUCUCUCUUUUUAUUUUUCUUUGCCUCUUCCUCUUCCUCUGUUUCCCUUCCCGGUAGGUCAACUUUCUAGAAAGUUCAUUCGGUUUUUGUGUUCAGAUCCGGGCCCUGGUGAUGGCUCUUCUUUUCGGUUGGCUUUCUCCAGAGACGCGACGAGGCUAUGGGAACUAGGAAGCGGCUGGGGUGGAUUUUAGGAUGGCGGGAAGUAGAUUGGCGUUUUUCAGAUCUGUUUGGUCCGAUAUACUUCCAACUGGAGGUGGCAGCACGUGUAGCUGAAUCUGACUCACCCAGUUCAUAUUUUCUUGUUUGGGCCUGUCUCGGUGUGGUGUUUGGUUCUUAUCCUCCGCCUUGGUGUCUCGGCGAGAAUUCCCUCUCCUCUGCCCUCAAGUUGUCCUUUGGUGGUUGUCUCCAUCAAGGCGUGUGUAGAUUUAUCCCCAUUUGGUGGUGUCAGAUAGUGGUGUCUGAUGGCGUGUGUUGCUUCUUGGUCCUGGGGUCAUGUGGAGGUGUCUGGUACUUUGGCGUCCUCUUUUCCGGGAAUCUGUUACAAUCAUUGCCAGGUUCAGUUCAUGGUCUUGUUUGGAAGGGAACUCGGGCCAGAGUUUGCUCUCUCUUGGUUUUGGGGUCUUUGGGUUCGUUCUUCAUUGGCUUCUCGUCAUCGUUCUGUCACCGGUGGCUGAGUUUAGAGUCUGAAGAAUCAUCACUUGUUCUAAGUGGUGGAAUGUGUGGAGAUUUUGACAGGUUUCGGGGGCCAUCGAUUGCUCUGUCCUCUCUCCAUGGCGGCACAUUUUGGACAUCUCCAUCCCAGUUAUGAAGAUGUUUCAGUUGGCUAUAUUCGGUAGGAGCUAUCUUUUUCUUUAGUUGCAGGUACCCUUUCCCCUCACAGAAAGGCGGCUUCACGUCAAUCCGAGUUUUGCCUUGAGUGAACGCAUCUUGGUGUUAGGUUCGUAGUCGUCCUAAUGUAUUGAUUUCUUGGGUCUUUGUUGACUCUCUCGAGCUUAAGAGUUAAGACACAUUCAGCACUGUAUGAAAAAUGGGAUGCAUAGCUCCUUACCCAGAUUAACCGAUCUAGUAGUGAGGAACAAGUCUGAUCCGGGGAUGUUGAAAACCAUUCCGACUUUGUCGUCUUUCUGAAGCCUAGCUAUAGGAUUGUGUUGUACCGACUUUGUUUCGAUUUACAGUAAUGUGUUCGUGAUGCCUCUUUGGGAAAGCUAAUAAAAUGUAAAAAAAAUUCAUUUUUUUAAUUGGCAAAACUUCAAAUUUAAAAUUUAGGAGUGUUUUUUUUUUCCAAAAUAAAAACUUCAAAUUUAACAUUAAUUUUUCUUGUAUUUUACACUAUAGUUUUUCUUAUUGAUAAAAGUUAAUAAAAUCAUAAAUAUUUUAUAUAAUCAUAAAAAUGAGAACCAAUCAGCGUUUGUUCAGUACCGAAUCCUAAUGGUGCUAAAGUCUUUGACAAACCUUCUGUAGAAACCAGCUAGUCCAUGAAAGCUUCUAACUUCGCUCACACUCUUAGGACUUGGCCAAUCUCAGAUUGCUUUGAUCUUUUCUUCAUCCACCUUGAUUCCUUGAGCUGUAACAACAAAGCCUAAAACACAAGGUGAUUUGCUCCAAAAGUACACUUUUUAAAAUUAGCAAAAAGAGUUUCCUUUCUAAGCACUUCAAGAACAGAUUUCAGAUGCUUAACAUGCUCAUUCAAACUCUUGUUGUAGAUCAGGAUAUCAUCAAAAUAAACUACCACAAAAUGACCUAUGAAAGCUCUAAAAACAUGAUCCAUCAAUCUCAUAAAAGUUCUAGGUGCGUUUGUAAGUCCAAAUGGCAUAACAAGCCACUCAUACAAGCCAUGUUUUGUUUUAAAAGCAGUUUUCCACUCAUCACCUUCUUUCAUCCUAUCAUCAAGUUUAGGAAUAUGAUGCAUGUACUUUACAGUGAUAUUGUUGAUGGCUCUGUAAUCUACACACAUGCGCCAGCUUCCAUCUUUAUUUGGCACCAAAAGUACUGGAACAACACAUGGACUCAUGCUUUCUCUGAUAUGGCCUUUCUCCAUUGACUCAUCAACAUGCCUCUGUAGUUCCUUAGUCUCUUCAGGAUUGGUUCUGUAAGCUGGUCGGUUGGAAAGAGAAGCUCCGGGAAAAAAAUCUAUUUGAUGUUCAAUCCCUCUGACUGGUGGUAGACCAUCAGGGCUCUCUUCUGGAAAUACAUCACUAAACUCCUGCAAAGGAAACUUAAACUCACUCGGUAGCACCGGUUCAUGGUCGGAAGAAGUCAUUAGUGCACCUUUAAAGACAAACAAAAGCAUAGACUGUUGGAGAUACAUAGCUUUCUUAACCUCACUGUUUUUGGCCAUGAGGUGAAUCUCCUUGUCUUUCUUUCUAUCAGGUAAUUUCUCUUUGUCUUUAGCUUCUUGUCUCAUGAGCUUGAGUUGAACUUGGUCUUGAUGAACCUCAUGAGGUGAUAUGGGAGUGAGAGCAAUCUUCUUCUCCCGAUGGGUGAAAGAUUGGCGGUUCGUAAACCCAUCAUGAAACUUUCUUAUCAUACUGCCAAGGCCUUCCAAGGAGGAUAUGGCUAGAGUCCAUAGGCAGAAUAUCACACACUAUCUCAUCUUGGUAUCUCCCAAUGGUUAUAUGAACCAUAACUUGUUCUGUGACCUUUAACUCACCAUCUUCAUUCAGCCACUGAAGCAAAUAAGGUCGAGGAUGUUUUCCAGUUUUCAGACCAAGCUUUGCCACAAGAGAUUCACUAGCCACAUUAGUAAAUAUUCCACCAUCUAUAAUCAGGCUGCAAACCUUAUUAUAAGCAUUACAACGAGUGUUAAAGAGGUUCUCUCUUUGAUUUGGACUGAACUUUCAACGAUCUUCUAGUGACCAGAAGCUCUCCACGCACUAGAUAUUCUACAGCUUCUUCCUCAGUAACAUCAUCCUUCUCGUCCUCAGAGAUCAGUUUGCCAUUCUCAAGCAAUAUCAUGACCUUCUUGUUAGUGCACUCUCUAGCAUAGUGACCAAAACCAUGGCAUUUGAAACACUUCACAUCUCUGGUUCGUGUGGCUGCUGCCUUCCCUUUGUUAUCUCGAGCAGUCGCCUUUGGUUCUUCUUUUGGUUUCACAAAUACCUUGUAUUCUUUACCAUAAGAUGAUCUGGUUGUGUUACCAUAAGAGCCUCUAGGAUUCAGUUUCCUCUUCAACUGCUGCUCAAUGAGAGUUGCCUUGUGUAGAAACUCAUAGAUAUCCUCAUACUCCUGCAACUCCAAUCUAUCUUGAACUUCACGGUUGAGGCCAUCUAGAAAUCAUGCCAUAGUUGCCUUAGGACUUUCUUCUACAGCAGCUUUCAUCAAUAGGAUUUCCAUCUCCUAGUAGUAGUCUUUUACACCUCUGGUUCCUUGAGUAAGUCUCCUGAGUAUUUGAUGAACUUCCCUACUGUAAUGACCAGGAACAAGUGUUUCUUCAUAAUAGUUUUGAGUUCAAACCAUGAAGACACUUGUGGCUCUCCUGUUCUCCUCCUGGUUGUAACAAUCUGAUACCACCAAUGUAGAGCAUAACCAUUGAACUCAGUAACAACUAGUCUCACUUUCUUAGAGUCUAAAAAAUUCUUGCAAUCAAACACCAGUUCCAUCUUUUUCUCCCACUCCAGAUACGCAUCAGAAUCGUUUAUACCACUGAAAGUUGGUAUACUGAGCUUGAGGUUGCCAAGGCUGUCGUCAGCUAUGUCUUCAGCAACUCCGCGUGCCGUGCGCCUAGUUUGAGAAGUUGUCCUUACUGAUUUGGCAUCAUCAGUACUACGGCCAGAAGAGGUAUAAAGAUCCUCAUUUUCUUCAACUACUGCAGGUCGCUUGCCCUUUCUCUUUUUUCUAGCUGCUUUCCUAGUCUGUGAAGAAGUACCCAAAACAUUGUCAGUAGCAAAGGAAACUCUUUCAAAUUGAAGUUUCUUAUCCAUUUCUUUCAUCAGUGUAGCCAUCAUGGCCCCCAUCUGAAUUUUAUCAAACUUAAAAGUGGGUGUUUCAUCUCGUUAAUGGCUCCCAUCAGACAUGGCUUCCUGUUAAGAAAUUAAACAAGAAAGAUUAGCACAUAUAUGAAUAGUUGAAGCCUCACAAUCUCUCAAGUGUUUCUCUCUUAUAUUUUUCAGUGAGUUUUCUAUGUGAAUCCAGUAGCUCAGCAACAAACAAAGAUCAAACUUCAAAGAACAAACCCCAACCCCAAAACAGAAGAAAGAGAUAGACAGAUUGCAAGAUUUUUGUUUGCAAGAGGCAUUAACACCAAGGCUGGAUUUCUCUUCAGCCGGCUGGAUUUCUCUUCAGCCAAGUUGGAUUUCUCUUCAACUUUUCUUUUGAUUUCGUUUUUUAUAGUGGUUGGCCCUCUUGUAGAUACAACAGAUAGAAAGAUAAGAGAUUUCUGAGAAAAUUGCAGAGAAAUUGUAGUGAAUACAAAACAGAUUCCCAAAACAGAGAAGAGAAGUCAAAAAGUUUAGAAUCAAACCCUAGAUCAAGAGCCUUCAAAUCUGCUCUGAUACCACUUCAUGAAUCCCUUAUGAGGAGAUCUGAUUGUCCCUGUUUCUUUUUUAAGGAAGAUCAGAUGGUUUGAGAGAGAUAUGGGUUGAUUUCGAUGAUGAUGGAUGGAUCGAUUGGAUGAUCUUCAGAGAUGAUCUAUGGAAUGAUCAAGUAUUGUGUAGAUGUGUCUAAGAUCAAGAUAAUGAACUCUACUUGUGAUCAAAAACAAGUUUUGCUUGCAGAGAAUGAACUCCUAGCAAUCAAUGUUCAAAGAUGAACAAAGGAUUCACAGAUAUGAGCAAGUUUGUUUGAUAAAAAGUGAAUCAAUUUUUUAGAAACACGGCAGAGUUUAAGUAGAGAGAAAGGAAGAAGAAAACGAAAAGUCCUAAAAGAAGGCGGGAAGUCUAAGUCGCAGAAAAUAAUAAAUUAUGUAGAAAAACUAAGUAAAACCAAUGACUGAAUAGGUGAAGAGUUGGUUUGGCUCCUUGACUUGAUUUCCGACUUGGUUUAGGUCUGGUACCGAGUAAACCAAAGCAGAAAUCGAUUUCCUCAGUCUUCUGGUUUGUGAUCUAGUGAUUGGGCCUUUAGACAAGCACAAUAGAUCUUUGUCUUGAUUAGUUUUGGCUGAGAAAGUCAUGUCUAGUCCAUCAUCAGUUUGGUUCGGAGUCUGAGUAUCACCGAGUCCAUUUAGCUCCAAGUCAGCUUCACAGUCACCUGAUUGUUGCAUCCACUCAGUUUUAUCCAUAGAGUUGUAUCCACGAGUUUCUGCGCCCACCAGUUCAGCAUCCACGGAGUUGCAUCCACAGAGUUGCAUCCAUUUCAAAUUAUCUUCUAGCUCGACCAUGCUUGCAUCAGUCAGGGCUGAAAAUAAGUUUAGAGAAGUCAAUAGUGUACAUGCCUUGUGUUCUUGUGGAAACAAAAGAAGCAGAUUCUUAUGAACUUUCUAUUUAAGAAGGGCGAGCUUCCGGUUCGGUAUCUCGGUCUACCACUUAUGCAAAAGGCAUGAAAACGCAAGACUGUCUCCCUUAGUGGAAAAGAUAAGAACUCAGAUAUGCUCUUGCACGAGUCGUUUACUCUCUUAUGGAGGUCGAUUACAGCUCAUAAAUGUUGGUUGUAAUUGAUUUUAUUGAAAGGGUGUAUGUGUUAACAGUUGUGACUUUUAGUUAGUUAGUUUUUCUAAGAGUUCUAAAGAGAAAAGACGCAACUCUUAAUUUGUAAUAACACAACUCUAUUAAAGAGCUACAUUGAAGAGAUACAAUCAAGAGAUGUAAGUGUUCACUUUGUGUUGUUUCAUUUUCUAUAUAAUCCCUUGUUAUUGUGAUGUAUAACAAUAUGUUCAGAUUUCUAUUUCUAAUAAUAAAAGUAAAGCUCUUGUUCCUUAAGAGAUUCAUCUCUUGUUUCUUUGUUAUAUUUUAGAAACCUUAGUUUCUUUUACAUGGUAUCAGAGCCUUAUUGAUUCAAGGGCCAACUAAAGAGAGAAGCAAGUAUUUGUAAAAAGGAUUCAAAGAAAAAUUAGAAAAUGAUGGAAGCAACAAUACAACAAGUGAUUCCCAUAUUUUAUGGAGACAAGUAUGAUUUCUCACGCAUUAAGAUGACAACAAUUUUCAAAACUCGAAAAUUGUGGACAGUGGUGGAAAAUGGAGUUCCAACCCAACUGGCACAAACAUAAGAAAAUCCUAGAGUAUUGCAACUGAGAAAUCAAUGGGAGGAAGCAUCAUCACAAGAUAUGAUGGCACUAUAAAUUCUACAAACUGUUGUGUCUGAUAAGAUAUUCUCUCGUAUAGCACCAGCAGUUACUUCAAAGGAAGCAUGGGAUGCUUUGAAAUCUGAAUUCCUAGGAACUCCACAAGUACGAUUGAUCAAACAGCAAUCAUUGAGAAGGGAGUAUGAAAAUUUGAAGAUGAACGAAGGUGAUAACAUCACAGUUUCCACUGAAAAUUAAUUGAUUUGUGAAAUCAAUUAAGAGUUCAUGGUGAAGAGAAGUCGGAUUAUCAGAUUGUCCAGAAAAUUUUGAUAUCUCUCUCAGAAAGGUUUGACAGCAUUGUGGCUGUAAUGGAGCAAACAAAAGAUUUGACUUCGUUGUCGGUAACAGAGUUAAUAGGAACUCUGAAGGCACAUGAAAAACAUAUGGAAAACCAAAGUGAGAACAUGCUGGAAGGAGCUUUUAAUGUUCAGCAAAGAAGAAAUUUUUUUGGUUAUAAGCCAGAAUAUGGAAAAAGGUGAUGUGGGUUUUGUAAGAGAAACAACCACACAUAAGCUGACUAUUGGAAGAAACAGAAUUUGGCUGAUCAGCAAAGAGGUUCAAGGAACCAUAAAGAAUGUUACAACUGUGGAAAAUUUGGACAUUUCUCAAGAGAUUGUCGUUCGAAGAAAUAUGAACAAGCAGAGAUGGGUAUUGAGGAUGAAGAAGAUGAAGAUCACAUGAUAUUUAGUGCAAGUGAAGAGUCAGAAAAAACCAAAGACGAAGAUUUUUGGUUAGUGGAUAGUGGCUUCACAUGAUACUCCUCUAAACAAAGCACUGUCAGAGUUCGGUCUAUACUCAGUUCCUAGGAUGAUUAAACAGUGCUACAUGUAAGGAUUAGAGGAUAAUCAUUUGCUUUUAAUGAUUUGUGUCCAUAUCUUUGAGAUAUGAAUGGAGUAGUACAUGAUACUUCUCUAAACAAAGCUAAUGAAAAAUCACCUUGUGAAUAUUAAAAUGUAGCUGUUUCCAGGAGAAUGAAAGAAAUGAUAUAUUCUCCAAGUUCACUCAUGAUUAACCAGAACUUUUUACGGCCAAAAUGAACACAAUAUAGAACCUAAUCUAUGAAAAAAUGAAAUUGUAUUAUAGUUAUUGUCUAGGUAUACAUCAAAGCCCGGGUAGUUCAAGACAUCAUGUUCACUACUUGGCCGAGUAAAUCCGAUAGCUACUAACAAUGUCUGGUUCAAUGCUGAAAGAUUGCUACCAACUCAUCAUGCAGUGUUUUUUUGUUUAUACUCUCAAAGGUCGUUUUUAUCCACUCUUUUUAUCUUUUCGAGUAUUGUUUAGGUAGUCAAGUAUGUCAAGUCUAUCGAGUCGUCUAGUGUUUAGAGUCAUUUCUAUUCAUGUGUGGGAUUGUUGGAACUGUUUUUUUGGACAAAUGGAUAUGACCAAUAUUCUGGUGAUUUUUCCGAGCAACUUAAUUGUCGGAAUAACCGGAUUGUGGAAUAGUUGGAUUCCUUGUUAUGAGCAUUGUAAUAUAAUGUAAUCAUAUGUCAAAAAAAAGUUCGUUUGAAUGAGAAAUGAAAGAUUAAUAUGAAAUUAUUUGUAGAAUAUUUAUAUUAGAAAUAUGAGGUGAAAAUCAUCUUGUGUAUAAAAUGGAGAAAUUAAAACAAAGUUAAAAAAACUUUGUAAACAUUUUGGUGUAUUAAGAAAAGAGAUACUUGGGCUAGACUGAAUUUUGGAUUAAACCACUAAGAUUUAUUUGUCUUAGCCCAAUAUCUUUUGCUAAUUAUUUUACUAAAUAAUAAAGCAUAAGAUCUCUUUGUUUCUCAUCUUUGACUAACGUCUUUGAUCAACAGUGAAUUUGAUUUUGGAUUCAAUGCUGUAACAUAUGGAGAAUAAAUUCAGCUCAUGAUAGAAUCAAAAUAAAAAUCUCCAUUUAGUGCUUUGUGAUGCACAUUAUUUCAUGGGCUAUAUAAAGCCAUGCCUUUCUCAUUUGAUAGACACGUCGAACACAAACAAAAAAACAGUUUCUCCCAUUUAUUUAUUUUUGUGUCUGACAGUAUAAGAGUAUAGCAUAGAUAUAGGUUUGAUAGGUUAUGGUUCUCAUGUGUUGUGAGACUGAAAAUAUAGACAGUUAUAUAUUUAGAUUCUUAAAUGUAUCAAACCUUCAUACUAUGAGUAUUUAAAAGAUUAAGGAAAUAGAUCUGAAUCUCGACUCUACUUAAGUUCUUUUCAUUCCAAAUACGGUAUUAUGUUGUUGUACUUUUUGUUCAUAUCAUUUGUAAUUUUUUUUUAGCAUAUCAAAUUUGCUCAUCUUGUAAAUUGGGUGCCUACAAAAGACACAGUUUAGCAAAUGGACUAGCUCAAAAAUCGAUGUGAUGCCUUCAAGAGGACUCUAUGAUGGCUAUUGUGGGCAUUGAUGCCACUUUGUGAUCCUUUAUAGAGACUGUUUCCUUUUGAGAAAGGAGUUAGAGCGCCAUGGUAGCCUAAAUGUGGGAAGAAUUUUUGGUGGCCUCAAGAUUAAGGUCCCACAAUGCCUUAUAAAAACUUCAUGAUCUGAAGAAGAUAUGAAAAAUUGAUUUAUUUGCUUUAA
This is a long non-coding RNA of Brassica napus (rape), 16134 nucleotides long. RefSeq lists it as uncharacterized. The transcript has 3 exons. NCBI's taxonomy places the organism in Eukaryota, Viridiplantae, Streptophyta, Magnoliopsida, Brassicales, Brassicaceae. The record is from RefSeq and is a predicted model, not a curated record.